Molecule: ribosomal RNA, 433 nt
Filed under: uncultured bacterium
Lineage: Bacteria
Description: partial 16S ribosomal RNA
Rfam family: Bacterial small subunit ribosomal RNA
Source: RNAcentral
AACGAACGCUGGCGGCAUGCCUAACACAUGCAAGUCGAACGAAACCUUCGGGUCUAGUGGCGCACGGGUGCGUAACGCGUGGGAACCUGCCCUUAGGUUCGGAAUAACUCCCCGAAAGGGGUGCUAAUACCGGAUAAUGUCUUCGGACCAAAGAUUUAUCGCCUUUGGAUGGGCCCGCGUUGGAUUCGCUAGUUGGUAGGGUAAAAGCCUACCAAGGCGACGAUCCAUAGCUGGUCUGAGAGGAUGAUCAGCCACACUGGGACUGAGACACGGCCCAGACUCCUACGGGAGGCAGCAGUGGGGAAUAUUGGACAAUGGGCGAAAGCCUGAUCCAGCAAUGCCGCGUGAGUGAUGAAGGCCUUAGGGUUGUAAAGCGCUUUUACCCGGGAUGAUAAUGACAGUACCGGGAGAAUAAGCUCCGGCUAACUCCGUG